This is a non-coding RNA of Athelia sp. TMB, 96 nucleotides long. The record is from the annotation of a GenBank genome assembly. Lineage: Eukaryota; Fungi; Basidiomycota; Agaricomycetes; Atheliales; Atheliaceae.
GGACCCGUGGCGCAGUGGUAGCGCGUAUGAUUCCAGAUGUUCAAGUACGAGCGUGGGAAUUCCAUAAGGUCAUCCGUUCAAUCCGGGUCGGGUUCA